ACUGCGCAUUGUCGCCACAGGAAGGAAGUAGGCCACUCCGAUACAAAUAUAUAAAAACGAAUUCGCGCAGGAGAAAAUUUCGACUCUAGAGAGUUCACACGACAAUUAUAUGCGAUCCACAUUCGUGAUUAUUUGAACUCAUUUUGAAAAGUAGUAAAAUCAGUGCUACACUAAAAUAAAAAAAAGAGAAUUAAAAGCGGAUUAUUCAGGAAACUUGGGGUCCACCGUGCGGAUUGUAAACCAACAGGCAACACCUCCGAGUUCUCCACUAAGGCAGUGGAGGCUUCCUCACCGAAGACCCCCACGCGUCACGGGAUCGAACGGCCCAAAGAUAAGUCCCCAGUGCACAUAGGCUUUUUUUUUAAAGACCAGAAAGCUUCCCUUGUGCCGCGAAUCUAAUCCCCGGGAGUAGUCAUCACUAGACUCCUAUUGAUCAUAUAUUAUUAAAUUCAAUUAAUAAUAUUUUAUUUUGAGAUUUUGUUAUUUAACAUCUUGUAAUAGACAAUUGUAACAUUGUA
Bombyx mori (domestic silkworm) is the source of this 518-nucleotide long non-coding RNA. RefSeq lists it as uncharacterized. The transcript has 2 exons. Lineage: Eukaryota; Metazoa; Arthropoda; Insecta; Lepidoptera; Bombycidae. The record is from RefSeq and is a predicted model, not a curated record.